GACGAACGCUGGCGGCGUGCUUAACACAUGCAAGUCGAACGAAGAGCGAUGGAAGCUUGCUUCUAUCAAUCUUAGUGGCGAACGGGUGAGUAACGCGUAAUCAACCUGCCCUUCAGAGGGGGACAACAGUUGGAAACGACUGCUAAUACCGCAUACGAUCUAACCUCGGCAUCGAGGAUAGAUGAAAGGUGGCCUCUACAUGUAAGCUAUCACUGAAGGAGGGGAUUGCGUCUGAUUAGCUAGUUGGAGGGGUAACGGCCCACCGAGGCGAUGAUCAGUAGCCGGUCUGAGAGGAUGAACGGCCACAUUGGGACUGAGACACGGCCCAGACUCCUACGGGAGGCAGCAGUGGGGAAUCUUCCGCAAUGGACGAAAGUCUGACGGAGCAACGCCGCGUGAGUGAUGACGGCCUUCGGGUUGUAAAGCUCUGUUAAUCGGGACGAAAGGCCUUCUUGCGAAUAGUGAGAAGGAUUGACGGUACCGGAAUAGAAAGCCACGGCUAACUACGUG
This 510-nucleotide ribosomal RNA is filed under the name uncultured bacterium. Its description in RNAcentral is "partial 16S ribosomal RNA". It matches the Rfam family "Bacterial small subunit ribosomal RNA", at positions 28 to 507 of the family's 1533-position model. The record is from RNAcentral.